This is a long non-coding RNA of Dinoponera quadriceps, 429 nucleotides long. RefSeq lists it as uncharacterized. The record is from RefSeq and is a predicted model, not a curated record. The transcript is spliced from 4 exons. NCBI's taxonomy places the organism in Eukaryota, Metazoa, Arthropoda, Insecta, Hymenoptera, Formicidae.
UACAAAGCCCACAGAGGCCAGUAGGCGAUGAAUUCGGUCCACCGUAAGCUUCUGUUUUGUGUUACCUGUCAGAUAUUAAGAAGAACAAACAAUGGUAUCUCAUCCUGAGAGUUAGUUUCUUGAUACAACAUCAACCACAACAAAGUCCACAAAAUACCUAUAGUCCCAAAUAGAUAAAAUCCAGUUUGCCAUGCCAAGUGUGGGCAUAUCUGAAGGAAGAACACAGUGGAGGGAACAUUAUGGGCGAAUAAGUGAAAUAUCACUGGUAGGCCUGCGCAGGAAACAAUCUCGUUAACAUCUUAACGUAAGAAAAGAAAAUAAGUCAAAAUAAGUCAUAUUCCUACAAGUCUUACCUAGUCCUUCCCCGAGUCCUAAAACCACCCUGCAGAAUAUCAACAGCGGCACUGACUGUGCUAACAGAGGAGUGAC